CUGGGCUGCCGUCUCCCCAGCCAAUGUCCUCUGUGUCCCUGGGCCUCAGUAUCCUGCCAGAGGGUGACACUCAGACAAUAGGAGGAAGCUGCCCAGCGAGGAUUCAGGAAACCAAAUCAGCUGACUAGAGAGGGAGAAGCAGAGGAGGAGACGCAGAAAUGUGGACCAGAGACAGCUGGAGACCGGGGGGCACUGAGGCAUCAGGUGCUGGGAGACGUCAGGGCCAGAGGUCGACUAGGCCGCGUGCCAGAGCACCUCCAGGAAGGGAGACGGAGGUGGAGGGGAGGCCGAGGGGCGCGCUCAGCCACCCCUUCCUCGGGGCCCUGGGCUUCCAGCACAGGUGGGAAGAGGUUGCAGCGGGUUGUGAGAGCAGCACUGGGCAUUUGGAUUUCGCCACUCCAGGGGCAGGGGACCAUCGGCAUUGGAGCCCGGGUUUGGGAAGCAGGGAGCCGGAGGUCGUUCAUCCCUCGCCUUUGCCUCUGCCAGCUGCACUGUAGCCAGGGAGAGGUUCUCUGGUCCACCUGCCUGGACCCAGCCCCUCUGGGACAGUUUUACCUGCUGCAAGCUUCUCUACUGACGAGAAGCAUGUUCAGGAGGCGGUCAUACCUCCUGAAGGGGAGCUGGACGGAUGGGGACAUUUUAUACCUUUGCAUUUUCUGCAUAUUGGGCUGCGUGAGGAAGUUAUUGAUGGACACAGGGCAGUGCGACUUUAGGGAGCAGUGCCGUGCUGCAGCUUGCUCGUCUGCCCCGGGCCCACACGGAGCUGCCCCUCUGUGCUGGUUGCACACAGACCCAGGAGAGAGCAGCUGGGUUCUUCAGCACCCCCCACCUCCGGGCUGACCCUGUCCCUGCCACAGCUCCUCUAGCACUUGGUCCCUGGUUGCCUUUCGUGGGCAACCUGCAGCCCGGGUUCCAGAACCACAGGUAACACGCCCGUCUCCCCGGGCUGGUGGGGGGCUGCAGCCCUUCUUGCUCCACGGGUCUUUUUCCAAGUCACACAGAGCAGCAAGUGCUCCAGUCAGAAGCCCCCCGUGAGGACCAAGGUGGCCUGCUUCAGCUGAUGCCCUCCAGGCUUCCUGCUUACUCGACCCUUACUUGUACCUUCUCCAUUAUGUGAUGAUCCACGGGGCUUUUUAAAAAUCAGUUUCUCUUAAAUUCUCGCCCACUGCUCAAUGUGUUAAGAUCAUUAAUUCCCAAGAGCAGAGGUGAUACCUAUUCCACCUUUGCAUUCCCAGGACAAUCCUUGUAAAUAUUGCAUGCCAGAUUACCACUCCUGGACGUGGAGUGGCUGUCACAGAUGUGGAAUGGUAUACGCACUGAGGCCACAGGACACCUUGGUGGAGCACUCCGCUGCCACCUGAAGACAGACCGCUGGUUCCUCCAGGGUAGCUGGGGGAAUAGCCUCUAUUGCCCCACCUGUGAGAUGAAGGGCAGUCUUGGUGGCCUGUGGGGGCCCCUCCACUGCUAAUUACCCAGUUACUGGCAUUCUGGGUCAGUAUUAUUUUUUUUCUCAUUUUUUAAUUUGUUAGGAAAAAAAAAAAUGAGUGACUGGGAAAGGUUGGCUUGCAGCCUGAUGCAGUAACUGGCUGAUCUUGCCCUCUCCAGGCCAAAGCCUGCAGCCCUGGAGAGAACCUGAGAAGACCCCGACUCAGACGGGGGACAGCGGAUAGCCCAGGACGUGGUCUGAGGAGAAGGAAGGAGGGCCAUGCUGGGGCUGUUCCUGCUCUGUGAGAAUUCAGCUCCCUCCCCGGGGGAGGCACCAGGCAGAAGAGGGGUCUUGCCAGGUUGAGAAGACAGAGGCGGACCCUGGCUGAGCUGGGUGCCUGGACUUUGCAGAGAAGAGAGUGGGGAGUCAUGUAGAAAGAACUCCAGGAAUCCACACAAGCACAGGACGGAAUCCCACCACUUAGGCGAAGCUGUAAACUGAAACUUUCCAGAACUUGCAAACACACUAGAUUCCUGUCAAGCCCAAGAAAAGAGACACAAGAAAAAAAUGGGAGGAUUAAGUAUGGAUCCUAAAAGGGGCAUCGCUUAGGAGAGGCGCUGCCUUAGCCUCGGAGUAGAUGCCACCCCAACCUGCCCUAGUGGCCCUAAAACCAGGUAUGGAAAGGGUGGAGUUACCCUGUUACUCAAAACAGUACAGCGUUCUCAAGAGGGGAAGAUGGUGCAGACAUUCAGCAGUCACCACCACGAUGUUCAGCAGCCCUCAAACCUCACCAGACACCGGAAGCCCAGGAGGUGACUCGAGGCCAGGAGCCAAGCUGGUCCACGUGUGCUCUCCGCAGAGAGAGGGUGGAGUCCGCCUUCGGAAUGUCCAAGCAGCAGUUUAGAUACAAUUAGGGAAGGAAGGAANUGGUGAAGACGGGGGGGGAAGACCCUGCGGGCUGCGCUGGGCGUGUGGGUAGCACAGCACCCUGCAGAGUGGGUGGGGGUCCUUGGAACCCAGGCGGGGGCCACCACCUGCCCAGCUGAGCCACUCCAGGCCCUGCUCACCACUGUGGAGGUGUGGAACCAGGCAGGAGUGGACACAACAGUGGCCUGUAUGCUGCCACACACACGCCACACCACGUGCAAGGCAGUGUCACCUAGACACACACCACACCCCACACACACACCAGGUACACACACCACACCACACAGUGUACACCAUGUCCCACACUCAGGUCACAUACACACACCACACCAGUCACAUCCUAGACACACACAACACACACACACCACACCAUGAACGAGGCAGUCUCAUCUAUGUAGACACCACACAUGCACCAGGUACACACACCACACACACAGUGUACACCGUGUCCCACACUCAGGUCACAUACACACACCACACCAGUCACGUCCUAGAUACACACACAUACCACACACACACCAUACCACGUGCGAGGCACUCUCACCUACAUACACACCACACACACCAGGUACACACACCACACCAUACACUAUAGACCAUGUCCCACACUCAGGUCACAUCCACACCCCACACCACGCAAACCACAUACAAAACCACACAACGUCCACCAUAUACCACACACCGUGUACCACGCAUGUGACUCACACACACACCACACGCCCAACACACAUACCUCACUCUACGCACACUUCACAUACAUACAGACACACCCCGCAGUAAUAAGGGACCCAGGAAUAAGCUCCGGGCAGCGGGGGUCAGGGCCGCAGAGACGCUGUCCAGGUGGCGUGUGGAGCCAGACAAGAACAAGCGUCGUCCUCCAAAACAGGGCUCUGGUUCCGGAAGAGCAAGGCCGCCCUGGCCCACGCAGUUCCGCGCCCUGUGCUCUAUAUUUCGGCACAGGAAAGCAUGUUGAUUUCCUUACCACCCUGGGGCUUGGAGCCCAGCCGUCUGCCCUUCUGGAUGUGGGGAAGGCUGCUGAACUCGGCUGGGCACUCUGGGGCUGACCAGCAGCUCGCCUCACUUGGUUUUGGUGCCGUGGACGGCCCCUGGGCCUCUGCUGUGCUUCCCCGUGGAGGACUGCAGCCCUCAGACCCUUCUCCAUGUGAGCCUGGGAGCAUUCGCCUCUCACAAGCUCCCCACUGUGAGGCUCAGCCAGACCCCACCUGGGGGCACAGGCCAUGAAUGACCUAGGUACACACCACACCAGUCAUGUCCUAGACACAGCCCUCCAGGACAUCCCCGGCAGACCCGGUCGUGGGACCCCAGGGAGCUUGCAGCACGCCCCGCACCUCCUCCCAGCUGGGCCACUACAGAUCACACCCAGAAGUUCAGAGGGUUGUGAAGGUUCACAGGAAUGGCCAGACCUGGGGAGAGAGGAGCAGGUGGGUGUGUUGGGAGCAACCCCAGGACCAGGCGGAAGCAGCCCCUGGCCCAGAGCGGACCCUCCUGGGGUCCAGGCAGAAGGGCUUCCCGGGAGCCAAUGCCGUGGCUCUGGCCCCCCACAGAGGUCCUGCUACAGAGGCUCUUCGCCCAGCAGCCCACCAUGCUGAAGAUUUCUUUCUGCCCCUAAGUUCUUUCUUUCCCUUUUUUUCCUUUGAGCUUAUAUUUAGGUGAUCAUUAUGUUUUCCUUUUAAAAUUUCUUAAUAUGAUAAAUUACAUAUAAACCAACCUUGAAACCAUUUUUUCAUUUUUUAAUUGAUUUUUUUUAAGAAUAAAUGACAGCAGAAUGCAUUAUAAUUCUUAUUACACAUAUUUAACAAAAAUUUUCAUAUCUCUGGUUGUAUAUAAAGUAUGUUCACACCAAUUCAUGUCUUCAUACAUGUACUUUGGUUAAUGAUGUACAUCACAUUCCACCAUCCUUGCUAACCCCCUGCCCCUUCCUUUCCCCUCCCACCUCUCUGCCCUAUCUAGAGUUCAUCUAUUCCUCCCAUGUUCCCCCCCUCUACCCCACUAUGAAUCAGCUUCCUUAUAUCAGAGAAAACAUUCGGCAUUUGGUUUUUUGGGAUUGGCUAAUUUUACCUAGCAUUAUCUUCUCUAACUCAUCCAUUUACCUGCAAAUGCCAUGAUUUUAUUCUCUUUGAUUGCUGAGUAAUAUUCCACUGUGUAUAUAUGCCACAUUUUUUUUUUUAUCCAUUCAUCUAUUAAAGGGCAUCUAGGUUGGUUCCAUAGUUUAGCUAUUGUGAAUUGUGGUGCUAUAAACAUCGAUGUUGCUGUGUCUCUGUAGUAUGCUGUUGUUAAUUCCUUUGAGUGUAGACCGAGAAGAGGGAUAGCUGGGUCAAAUGGUGGUUCCAUUCCCAAUUUUCCAAGGAAUCUCUAUACUGCUUUCCAUAUUGGCUGCACCAAUUUGCAGUCCCACCAGCAAUGUAUGAGUGUACCUUUUCCCCCACAUCCUUGCCAACACUUACUAUUGUUUGUCUUCAUAAUAGCUGCUGCUCUGACUGGAGUGAGAUGAUAGAGUAGUUUUGAUUUGCAUUUCUCUAAUUGCUAGAAAUGAUGAACAUUUUUUCAUAUAUUUGUUGAUUGAUUAUAUAUCACUUCUGAGAAGUGUCUGUUCAGGUCAUUGACCCAUUUAUUGGUUAUUUGUUUUUUUAGUGCUUAGUUUUCUGAGUUUUUUAUAUACCCUAGAGAUUAGUCCUGUAUAUGAUGUGUGAGGAGUAAAAAUUUGUUUCCAAGAUGUAGGCCCUCUAUUCACCUCACAGAU
This 5114-nucleotide long non-coding RNA is filed under the name Marmota monax (woodchuck). The record is from RNAcentral. Lineage: Eukaryota; Metazoa; Chordata; Mammalia; Rodentia; Sciuridae.